UAACACCCUACCCUAGGGCAGUAGUGAGCUCACCCAGCUUAACUGUUUGCUGGAACUUUCAUCUCCUGCCGGCCUUGCCCUGCUGCCCCUUAGUGCGCCACCUGGGAUUUCUUGUUCCUGAUGGGGAGUCUAAGGGCCAGGGUGGAGGUGUUCAGGAGGAUCCCCUAAGGAAGGUUAGAUAAGAGUAUGAUGAAUGAGACCAGCGCUGUGGGAAGAGAGCGAGUGCUGGAGGCAGUUGUGGAAAGGGAGCAGCCCAGGGUAGAGAGAAACAGAAAAGGACAAGAGGCAAAAGUGGCAAGGCCAGCCAUCACAGAACAGGGCUGGGUGAUGGGUGGUGAAACUGAGACCCAGAGAGACCAGCCAUCCCGGAAGAGAGAAUGGAUCUCCAAAGGCCACACAGAGAGCUGAGGAGGAAGCACAGGAAACAACCCAGUAAGAGGAGGCCACAGGCCUUCAGUCCAAACUCAACCCUCUCCUACCACCCACCAUGUACUGCAACUGCUUCUCGGAAGGCAUCCGGGCUGCCCCUGUCAACUACUGGAUCUCAGGUCUGGCCUUCCCGGAUUGGGCCUACAAAGCCGAGUCGUCGCCAGGUUCCCGGCAGAUCCAGCUGUGGCACUUCAUCCUGGAACUGCUGCAGAAGGAAGAGUUCCGCCAUGUCAUCGCCUGGCAGCAGGGAGAGUACGGGGAGUUUGUCAUCAAG
This 703-nucleotide long non-coding RNA is filed under the name Rattus norvegicus (Norway rat). RNAcentral's name for it is "long non-coding RNA NONRATT015391". The record is from RNAcentral. Lineage: Eukaryota; Metazoa; Chordata; Mammalia; Rodentia; Muridae.